RNAcentral lists this ribosomal RNA (250 nucleotides) under uncultured bacterium. RNAcentral's name for it is "partial 16S ribosomal RNA". It matches the Rfam family "Bacterial small subunit ribosomal RNA", at positions 524 to 773 of the family's 1533-position model. The record is from RNAcentral.
UACGAAGGGUGCAAGCGUUGUUCGGAAUCACUGGGCGUAAAGCGUGCGCAGGCGGCCAUUCAAGUCAGGGGUGAAAUCCCGGAGCUUAACUCCGGAAUUGCCUUUGAAACUGUAUGGCUUGAGUCUCGGAGGGGAUAGCGGAAUACCUAAUGUAGCGGUGAAAUGCGUAGAUAUUAGGUGGAACACCGGUGGCGAAGGCGGCUAUCUGGACGAGUACUGACGCUCAUGCACGAAAGCGUGGGGAGCAAAC